RNAcentral lists this ribosomal RNA (502 nucleotides) under uncultured Glomeromycotina. RNAcentral's name for it is "partial small subunit ribosomal RNA". It matches the Rfam family "Eukaryotic small subunit ribosomal RNA", at positions 591 to 1092 of the family's 1831-position model. Lineage: Eukaryota; Fungi; Glomeromycota. The record is from RNAcentral.
CCAAUAGCGUAUAUUAAAGUUGUUGCAGUUAAAAAGCUCGUAGUUGAACUUCGGGGUUUACCCAUUGGUCAGGCUUAAUUGUCUGUACUGGUGAGAUGAAUCUCUACCUUCUGAGGAACUUUCAUGCCAUUUAUUUGGUGUGAUGGGAAAUCAGGACUGUUACUUUGAAAAAAUUAGAGUGUUUAAAGCAGGCUAACGUCUGAAUACAUUAGCAUGGAAUAAUGAAAUAGGACGGACUGAUUCUAUUUCGUUGGUUUCUAGGAUCACCGUAAUGAUUAAUAGGGAUAGUUGGGGGCAUUAGUAUUCAAUUGUCAGAGGUGAAAUUCUUGGAUUUAUUGAAGACUAACUACUGCGAAAGCAUUUGUCAAGGAUGUUUUCAUUAAUCAAGAACGAAAGUUAGGGGAUCGAAGACGAUCAGAUACCGUCGUAGUCUUAACCAUAAACUAUGCCGACUAGGGAUCGGACGAAGUUAAUUUUAUAAUGACGCGUUCGGCACCUUACG